GUGCUCACUUUGGCAGCACAUACACUAAAAUGGGAACGAUACUGAGAAGAUUAGCAUGGCCGCUGCAUGAGGAUGACAUGCAAAUUCGUGCAGCAGUCCAUAUUAAA
Small nuclear RNA from Pipistrellus kuhlii (Kuhl's pipistrelle), 107 nucleotides. Lineage: Eukaryota; Metazoa; Chordata; Mammalia; Chiroptera; Vespertilionidae. The record is from RefSeq and is a predicted model, not a curated record.